This 397-nucleotide ribosomal RNA is filed under the name uncultured bacterium. Its description in RNAcentral is "partial 16S ribosomal RNA". It matches the Rfam family "Bacterial small subunit ribosomal RNA", at positions 360 to 774 of the family's 1533-position model. The record is from RNAcentral.
AAUAUUGCACAAUGGGCGCAAGCCUGAUGCAGCGACGCCGCGUGGAGGAUGAAGGCUUUCGGGUCGUAAACUCCUGUCUGGGGGGAUGAAUACUGACAGUACCCCCGGAGGAAGCCCCGGCUAACUACGUGCCAGCAGCCGCGGUAAUACGUAGGGGGCGAGCGUUGUCCGGAAUUACUGGGCGUAAAGCGCGCGCAGGUGGCUUGUUAAGUCAGGUGUCAAAAUGCGGGGCUCAACCCCGUACCGCACUUGAAACUGGCAGGCUUGAGUGCAGGAGAGGGAAGUGGAAUUCCUAGUGUAGCGGUGAAAUGCGUAGAUAUUAGGAGGAACACCAGUGGCGAAGGCGACUUCCUGGACUGUAACUGACACUGAGGCGCGAAAGCUAGGGGAGCAAACA